Streptomyces sp. NRRL F-6602 is the source of this 503-nucleotide non-coding RNA. NCBI's taxonomy places the organism in Bacteria, Bacillati, Actinomycetota, Actinomycetes, Kitasatosporales, Streptomycetaceae. The record is from Rfam.
GCGCAGGGUGUGCUCCCAUGUGCCCGGCUCGGGGGUGAGGACCUGUUCCCCGGCGUGGUCGCCGUCGGCCAGCACGCCGAGGUCCACCUCGUCGUCGUACUGCCCGGCGGCGUGCCGGGUGACCCGGCCGCGGGCGAUCAGCAGCAGUUCCUCGACGGGCCGGCCGCGCACGGUCAGCUCCUGGCCCGGCUCGUACUCGCGCUGGACGAAGCCGUCGGCCAGCGCCCGCAGCGCCGCCUCGUCCUCCAGCCCGCGCAGCAGGGCGAUCUCCCGCAGUUCGGCGGGGAUGACGCUGAUGUCGGCGCCGGUGGAGACGAACUCGAUCCUGCCGUCGCCCAGGGUGUGGGUGAGGCGCCGGUUGACGCGGUAGGUGCCGCCGGUGGUCUCGGUCCACGGCAGGACGUGCAGCAGCCAGCGCGGGGAGAUCCCCUGCAUCUGCGGGGGCGUCUUGGUGGUGGUGGCGAGAUUGCGUGCCGCCGCCGUGGUGAGGCUGGAGGACACGG